This 492-nucleotide ribosomal RNA is filed under the name uncultured bacterium. Its description in RNAcentral is "partial 16S ribosomal RNA". It matches the Rfam family "Bacterial small subunit ribosomal RNA", at positions 29 to 507 of the family's 1533-position model. The record is from RNAcentral.
AGUGAACGCUGGCGGUAGGCCUAACACAUGCAAGUCGAACGGCAGCACAGUAAGAGCUUGCUCUUACGGGUGGCGAGUGGCGGACGGGUGAGGAAUACAUCGGAAUCUAAUUUUUCGUGGGGGAUAACGUAGGGAAACUUACGCUAAUACCGCAUACGACCUACGGGUGAAAGCAGGGGAUCUUCGGACCUUGCGCGAUUGAAUGAGCCGAUGUCGGAUUAGCUAGUUGGCGGGGUAAAGGCCCACCAAGGCGACGAUCCGUAGCUGGUCUGAGAGGAUGAUCAGCCACACUGGAACUGAGACACGGUCCAGACUCCUAAGGGAGGCAGCAGUGGGGAAUAUUGGACAAUGGGCGCAAGCCUGAUCCAGACAUACCGCGUGGGUGAAGAAGGCCUUCGGGUUGUAAAGCCCUUUUGUUGGGAAAGAAAAGCAGCAGGUGAAUACCCCGCUGUUCUGACGGUACCCAAAGAAUAAGCACCGGCUAACUUCGUG